Molecule: non-coding RNA, 30 nt
Filed under: Mus musculus (house mouse)
Lineage: Eukaryota; Metazoa; Chordata; Mammalia; Rodentia; Muridae
Source: RNAcentral
UGUGCUUUUGUAUGGUACUCUCAUGAUGUG